This 28-nucleotide non-coding RNA is filed under the name Bombyx mori (domestic silkworm). Lineage: Eukaryota; Metazoa; Arthropoda; Insecta; Lepidoptera; Bombycidae. The record is from RNAcentral.
UACUCCUUUCGUGCAUCCUGGUGAUCAG